CCGCCCUUCCCGACGAGUGGAGAAGCCCGCUGCAUUUUGCCAGGAAGGGCGAGACGCGGCAGUGCAGGCUGGAUGCUCCGAUGGGAGAGGCCUGCUGUGCUAGAGCAACCACUGAGCUGACUUGCGUCGGAUAAUACGCAGUGUAGUUAUGAUGGAAAUGGUGGCAGUGAAAGCAGUUGUGACAAAAGCAGGAACUAGAAGAUGGUGGUCAUGGAAAGAAAAAGGAGGAGGUGAUGGGAGGAGAACAUGGAUGGUUCUGUGCUAUCUAGUUCACAAAUGCCUCAUUUGGGGAAGAGGGUACUGAAAGGCUGGCAUUGCAUUGUCAUUCCAAACAUAAAACACUGCAGCACAGAUUAGGUGGUUAAAAGGCUCAGCAAUUUCCCACCUUGCCAUAUAUACUUGCAGAAAGUUCCGAAGCAAAUGCUGCAGCCCACGGAACUAUUUGCUUCAUGUUGCUGAAAUAGGGUGCCAGAUGAGGUACUGUCACCUUGUUCUUUACGCAAGUGCUUCUCAUUUGCUUGAGUAAUUCUUUUGCUUCCCUUUCUCAUCCCCUCCCUCCAAAGAAUAGGUGUGAUUAAUAGGUACAAACUGAGCACCACAAAAGAACUUUUCACUUGAGUGUGUCGAAAAUGGAAGAAAAAGGCCAAUUCUACAGUACGCAUUUUGCCAAAGGAUGAAAUGUAUUAUCUGCCCUCCCCGCUUACUCAGGAGCAGAGCAAUUUCUGCUGCUUCUUGUUCCACCACUUACAUUUGUCUCCAUUUGGAGACAGGAUUGUUUUCCUCUCCUCCCUCCAAAUAUUAAUGUGGCUUCAUUUUUGCAAAGUUUGAUGUUCUAAAAAGGGAGCAUAUCAGGCUCCUUCUGAGCUCAGAAGGUCCAAGAAUUUGCAUGUACUUUUAAACAACUGGAGUGAGGAUGGUGACUUGGAUCAGAGCCAUGAUGAAAAUAACCCCCUAACCCUCAGCAUUGAGGGCUUCCCUUUUGAGGCACAUUGCAGCUGUAGGAGGGAGAAAAUGAAAAAGUGGAUUCCCCCAGGCACUAUAAUGCUACCUCUGUUUGAAACUACAGCCCCGGUGGCGAAGUGCGUUAAAGCGCUGAGCUGCUGAACUUGCAGACCAAAGGUCCCAGGUUCAAACCCCGGGAGCGGUGUUAGCGGCUGCUGUUAGCUCCAGCUCCUGCCAUCCUAGCAGUUCAAAAACAUGUGGGUAGAUCAAUAGGUACUGCUCUGGCAGGAAGGUAACAGCGCUCCAUGCAGUCAUGCCGGCCACAUGACCUUGGAGGUGUCUACGGACAAUGCCGGCUCUUCGGCUUAGAAAUGGAGAUGAGCACCAACCCCCAGAGUCAGACUUGACUGGACUUAACAUCAGGGGAAAACCUUUACCUACAGUAGAGUCUCACUUAUCCAACAUAAACGGGCUGGCAGAACGUUGGAUAAGUGAAUAUGUUGGAUAAUGAGAGAUUAAGGAAAAGCCUAUUACGCAUCAAAUUAGGUUAUGAUUUUAUAAAUUAAGCACCAAAACAUCAUGUUAUACAACAAAUUUGACAGAAAAAGUAGUUCAAUACGCAGUAAUGCUAUAUACUAAUUACUGUAUUUAUGAAUUUAGCACCAAAAUAUCAUGAUGUAUUGAAAACAUGGACUACAAAAAUGCGUUGAAUAAUCCAGAACGUUGGAUAAGCGAGGCUUGGAUAAGUGAGACUCUACUGUAUACUUAUAUUUAAUGUAUUUGGUAGUUUGCCUCUGAGACUCCAAGUCUCAUAGAGCAGAAGCUGAAAAUGACUUUAGAUUGCCAAUACAAAGAAACAGCAAUCAAAACUGGAUGCUCAGUUGUCCAUUCAUUUGUGAAUCUGCUCAAGGGUGAAAUCUUAUUCUAAUGGAGUUAACCAAAGUACCAAGUCUAUCCCUGGAAUAGAGUAGCUCUGUAAAAGUUUAAACAAAAUCUCGGAUUAGAUUUACUACCUCAAUGCUAAAAAUAUCUCUAGUCAACCCUGAGUUUCAUAGAAUUCACUAAAAUAAACACAUAACCAAAGAUGAAUUUCUUCUCCAUGGGUCUUUUCACAUUAUGCAGUUAUAGCUCUAUGGUUAAAUUUCAGCUCCCAUGGUAACCUUCUAGGGAAUCCUGGAUGUGUAGAAAGAUGAGAGCUCUGGUUGAGAAUUUUAAAUGGUCCUCAACUAAACUACAAAACUCGGAAUUUCUUAGGGUAGAAUCAUGGUAGUUAAAUUGGAAAUACAGAGCUCUAACUGAACAUCAUAAAAUAUCCCUAGGUUCCACCUUAUGGAAUCUAAGGAUUUGCAAUUUAAGGAGGGAUAUCUAGUAUUCUCAGUCAGAAAGCUCACUAAGUUAUACACUUCAAUACUCCACAGUUUUGGAACGUAGAAUCAAAGUGCUAGAUUUUUUUUGUAUGAAAGAAUCCAUGGAAAUCUCCAAAAGUGAAAAUUAAGUUUUUAAACAAGUUAAGGAAGUUUCUUGCAUUAGUAAACAAUAAAAAUAUAUCUUGCUUUCAAAACCUUCCAUCCACUUCCAGGCUUUUUGGUUUUAUAUUUUGCCAUUGAGGGGAUCUAUGUGGCCUUUUGAACAUCCCAGUGCAGAAAACCAACCUUCAUACCUGUUGAAGCUACAUACCCUACAGUUUAUAGUAACACGAAAAUAAAUGAUGAGAGGGGAAGAACAACUCAUCAACACAAUCUAAUAAUAUAUUCAAGCCUCCCUCAGUUAUCAUGUGAAACUCUUAGCAUAACAUCGCUUAGGAUUUAGUGCUAUAUAUUUUGAUCUACUUUCAAUAUUUCCCAAAGUUGAUGUAGAACUUUUGGAGAUUCUGCCUGGUAAAAGAUCACAGACAUUUCCCAACUGACAAGUCUAGUCAUCUACACAACAGGAUCCCAUGUGGCAUAAAGAACUUACUUAGCAAACUAUUGUGCAUUUAAAAGCAACUGAAAUAAAUGGUCCCUCUAUUUCCAAAGUUAAUUCAAGGCAUACAAAAGGAAGAAGCAAACUAGAAGGAUUUGAGAUUUCGGUCUUGCUGAGAGGUUCCAAAAUAAUCAAAAUGUUAAAGUUGUCAGGAAGCAUCAACUUCUGCCUAGACUAAAAACUUACAUAUGUUUUAUGCCAAUUUAAGUCUCAUUAUUCCUUGGAAAAAUCCUAGGGAUUAUAAUUUGGUGAGGAUAAAAAAGAUCCUUUGUAAAAGAUAGUGCUAGUUAUUGUUCCAGCCUGACUCUUUCGUUAACUCAUUAUUCCUCCAAAAACAUCUCAUCAAAUUUAUAAUUCUUUGCAAGUUAAUAAUACUGGGCUCAGUAUGGGAGCUCUCUUCCCCAACAUAAUGUCAGGGUCUUUGAGGUUUUGAAAUGUAUUUUUGCAAGAAAAGAGCUGAUGAGAGAGAAGGGAAGGCAUAUUAACACUCUUUAAGGUUUCCUUUACUACAAAUGAUAUAGGAAAUAGAAUUUUUAAAAUCUCCCCAUAUGAAAUCAUCUUAACUGUCAUAGCUCCAGCCUACAAAAUCCUGGUAUGACUAUGAUGAUGAUAUUUAUUUACAUCCCACUUUUUUUUCCUCUUAACAGAAACUCACAACAGUGAACCAUACUAUCUAUAUAUAUAUAAAAGGGUAUUGAAAUUUCGGCCUAGGACAAAACAACACAUCCCAGAAACACUAAAGAAACACUAAACUUGGCAGCACAACCCCUCAUCCAUGCCUCGUUCAUACGUUCAUACAACAAAAAGCUCCAGCUACUCCAGAAAAUGGCCAGACUUUGAGACUGCAAGGCUAUUCACUGCUAUUCCACCUGGCCAACAAAUGAUUCCCAUAAGCCACAGCAACUCGUGGCCGGGCAAAGCUAGUAACAAUACAAUAUAACACUUAAAACCUAAAACACAUAAAUACUAAAAUAGGAUUAAAACAGGAACUAUUAAUAGUAUUUAAAACAAUUGAAAUGAUUAAAAACUUCUUAAAAUACAUAAAACACUCCACAGCAUCCCUGACUUGGUCUUAAUGUGUAGUAUAAUGAGGAGAUUAGGAAUCUAUGCUAGAGACUGCCAGUUUACUUCCUGAACUACAAUUUGUAUUCUUAUUUAAUCCUUCAUUCUACCUUCUACAGAGUGUCCCAAAGAUCUCUAUACACAGGAAAAAUUAACAAAAUCAUACAUUUCCCAUUAUAGUUCUCUCUCUAUAAAAGCCAAAAUACGGGCAUGUAUGUUUGUACAUUUAUAUGAUUGAACCACAAAGGCUCCUACUAGAGCUGUGCAUGGAAAUAUUUCCCUUUGUUUCAUUCAUCCUUCCGUUAUUUUCUUUCCUUUGGAAGCACGUAAAGGAAAGGCCCCUCCCCCUACAAAAAUCAGCUCAACAUGAAAGCAAGCAGGAGUCAAUCCUGCCUGUUUUGCCUGUUUUUCGGCACCACAGUUUAAUAUUUUUAUUAAUCCCCCCCGGAAACAAAAAAUUCCUUCUCUUCUUCCAGGAUAUCAUUGCUUUUCCUUUCCUGGAAGUGGGAAGCCUCCUUAAAAUGCCUUGGAAGGGUGUGUGGCUGCUGGUAUGCGCAUGCGCUUGCUUGCAACUGAGUGCCUCCAAUAGAGUAAGAAACAGGUUAAAGAACUUGCUUGUCUCCUUUAAAUGCCUUGGAAUGGAAAGAGUAUGUGGCUGCUGGUGUGUGGGCAUCUCUUCUAGAGUAAUAAACAGCUUUAAGAUUAGAACUUGCUUGCCUCCCUUAAAUGUCUUGGAGUGGAAAGAAUGCGUAGUUGCUGGUGUGUGUGCACCUCCUCUAGAGUAAGAAACAGCUUUAAGAACUUGCUUGUUUCCAUAAUAUGCCUUGGAAAGAGAGUUCAUUUGGCAUGCAGACCUGGGAGAGAAAACACGCUCACCUGCCUGCAGCUGAGCGCCUCUCCUCUAGAGUAGAAGAGCUUAAAUGGCUAAAAUGACAGGAAGGGGAGCCUAGGAAGCCCCCCUCCCCCAUAAUUGGCUGUUAGAAAAUGGAUCUUUUGGCACCCCAGAGUGAAAACAGAUAUCUGUGCUCCUGAUUUCGGGAGGCUCAAAAAAAAAAGUGACAGCAGCAAGGCAAGGCAAUCGGACUAAAGUACACGGAUGCAACUGAGAGUAAUGGAGGCCGCCACCAUUAAAUAAACACAGCUUGCAUAAGACAUGUCAUGACAUUCUUCUAUUCCAAUUGGCCCAAUAGGCUGGGCUCCCAGUGCAAGGAGGAGCAUGCCACGACAGCAGUGAUUGGCUGCCAUGUGGUCCUGUUACAGAUGGGAAACCAUGACGGCUGAGUCCUUGCUGUUAUGGCCAUCCGACCAAGCCAAAGAAGUCGAACUGGUCAAAGAAAAAUGGCUAAAACAUAUCCACUCACAAACCUAAAGGAAAACACCUUCCUCCCUAUGAUGGAGAAGAAAGUGCAUUUUGACGCUUCCCCUCCACUUCAGGAGGACUAUGGGUGGGGCCUGCUGUGCAUCAUCUGACUGAGCCAUCAUAGUUGAAGUGAUGUCAAACUACAUUAAUUCUACAGUGUAGAUGCACCCUGAGUGUAGUAAAGAUGACAAAAGCUAUCAGUGAAGACGAACACACAAGGUAGGAGAUGUUGCAGCAGUUUGUUUUUGCCUGCGUCUGUAGAAAAGGCCAACAUUUCACUCCCUCCUCUCCUCUUUCCUCACCAAAUUAAAUGAAUGAAAAUUAUUUUUUUCACAUGAAACACAAUUUGCAAUAAUUGAAGUAAGCUGUGAUCCAAUGGGAAAGGUGGGAGCAGAAGAGAGAAAAUGGGCUAUUUUAAAAACGGAUGAACAAGGAGAUUAUUUGGAACCAUCUCAGUUAAAUCAAAACAGUUGGAGCAUAUUUAUUACAAUGGGAAUAUCAGUCUGUAGUAAGCCUUAUAUCAGGCCCUGGGUUUUUCCUUAUGGUCAUGUUCUCUCCUGCAUGGCACUAUUUUUUUGAGAUUUCCCAGCAUUUGUACAAUGUUUCCCAGUAAUUCAUCUUAGUAGAGCCUGAAGCCUCUAGUAAGACGAAUAAUUAGCAUCAUGGGAGUUAUGGUCAGGCAGUAAGACUCUUAGGCAGAGAAUAAAUACCUUAUAAAACUUCAGUUCCCAUGAUUUCAAAGCACCGAGCCAUGGUAAUUAAAGUGGUGUCAAAUUGCAUUAAACCUACAGUGUAGAUGCACCCUCAAGUUCCAGAAAACCCAUGACAGAUUUGCUUUUGGGUCACCAUAAGUCAGAAAUGACUUGAAAGGUACACAGCAACAACAAUAAUUUUGCUCUGGAAUCUUCUUAUUUGGCUCCCCUGCCAUUUUGGUGUUACAUGCUAUUUGAAUAUUGACCUUGAGAUUUCCCUUAAAAUUGAAAUAGGAUUUUAUGCUAAAAGAGAUUAUCUACCUGUGCCUUAUAUUAAACAUUAGGCAACUGUCUCAGGAAGCAUAAUUUGGUUAAUGCUUUAGGAAGUUAAUGCAGUUAUUGAAAUGAUGCUGGAGGGAACAUAGUCUCUUGUGGUCCCAUAAGUGAGAAGUGGAAUAUGGGAGUCCCUUUUUAUACAGUAAAUGAAUAAUUUAUUUGUUAUUUCCUCUUCCCAUCUCAGCUCAUUGCCAUCAAUAUUUUUUGUCCCAGGAAUGGUGCUAUUUACUCACAUUUCAGUUCCAGAAAAGGUCAAUGUCUGUAAACAACUGCUCCACUUGAUAACUGAAGAUCAUUAGAGCUUACUGAGAUCUUGUGAGCAGCUGGGAUCUGACUUUAAGCAGCAAUUUUAAGGAAAUUCCAUCUCCCUUUUGCUCCUGUAAGGAAAAUGUAAAAAAAAAAAUGCAAGGAAACAGAGCACAUUUAAGUUGAGGUUCUCUAUAUUAUAUGUCUUUCAAUAGACUGAGCUUUGAGUCAUUUGUUUUCAGAAUAAAUAACUCCUAGUGUACAGUACUGUGGCAAUUUAGCAGACUUGUCCUAAACCACAUUGACAUAAACCACACUGUGUCCUAACCCACAUUGACAUCAACACUGAAAGUUUAACAAACACCAAGGUUAAGGAAAAUUGACAGUCUCAAUACAUCUUGGUUAAUUCAGGUACUUUGCCUGCCACACUUCCUAAUUACAUCCAUUUCUUGGUAAUGAGCCAACUCUUUUUCAUUCCUCCAUCCCAACUGCCAUUGUCUUGGCCUCAGAGGGAACAAAGAAGAGGCAAGCACAGCUCUAUCAUUCCUAGGCAAAGAAGCAGAUGAAAGGUACUCCAUCUCAAUUGCCAAUGCCCUGGCUUUAGGGAAUGAAGAAGAGGCAGACACAGGUCCAUCAUGCAGAAGUUUAGAAACAGAUUAAAAGUCUUCCCUCCAUCCCAACUGCCAUUGCCCUGGAAAGUCCAAAGGAUCAGGCAGUAGGGAUGUAAUUCUUUGCUACUUUUUUCUUGGGGGAAGAAACAAAAAAUAGUUUCUGGAAUUUACUUCUUGCUGUUGUAAAGUCUUUACAAACUACAUAGCUUUCAAAGCCUCUUUGUAAUUUGGGGCAUUAAUCUGUACAAAGUUUGCAUGGUGGUUUCUAUCCAAAUCAUCCACCUGUGAAUUUGUACAGAAUAAGUCCUCAAUUUUAGCAUAAAAUAAAGUUUACUGCACAACAAAUAAUAUUUUGUCACAGAAAUAUCAAUUUCUGCACAAAAUACUUAUGUAUAGAUUUUGUCCAGAAUAGGUCCUGAAAUGUAAAGGUUCUUGUCAGUCCAGGAUUUCUCUCAUCCAGGUUUCUCAUCACUCUUUCUUUAUUAUGGUCCAUGACCAGCAUAAAGUGGGCACAAAAGCCCUGGGAAGGGGAAAUGAAGUUCACUAUUAACCAGUUAUAAAAGAAUAGAUUAGAAAACAGUUUGAAAUCGCAGUUUAAAAACAGAGAUUAAUGUAGCAGGUAGAAGGGACUCAUCGCUCAAAAAAAAAAAAUAGCAUAGUUUGGAGUGACUCCAAAAUGACAUAGUGCAGUGGAGGAUCUUUCCAUUUGUGGUUGAGUAGCUUCAAAACCAUGCUAUCUGCUGCAUGUGAUAAUGCUUUAGUUGUUCAAUCCAAAUCAAACCCACUCAAAAAUACCUUGCAUUACAACAUGGCUAGCUAAGAAGAUAUUGUUAUUAGGAAAACGGAUGCCCCUCUAACUGCUCUGAAGAUCACAAUAAAGUUUAGACAGGACAGGUGGUUUUGCAUAAGCUGGCACAUGGUGCCAUCAUCCUGGCUUAUCAUAACAGUGAUAACAGCUCCUGGUACUCUGUCCCUUGACUCCUGGUUUUACUUUUCUCUUCAUAGUAGCUAUGUACAGUUCCCACCAGGAAGCCACAUUUUAACAAGAAAAAGAGGAGAAAUAACAAAGAAAAACAAGAUAAAUAUAGAGAAAGAAACAAGAGGGAGAGGGAGACAGGGAGAGAGAAUGACUGGGGAAGAGGAGCCACAGACAGUCAUUUGUUAAUAAUAGCCUCUCUCUUGAAAUGACAAGGGAAACUGAUACUAUAAUUUGUAAUCCUUUGUGUGUUGCUGGGCUGCAGAGCCCACCAUUCCUCACCAUUGGCUAUGUUGUUUAGGAUUAAUGAACAUUGCUAUCCAACCACAUCAUGCAAGAUGUAGAGUAAUUGUCCACCCCAAACUCUUCAAUCAACAAGUGCUAGAAGCAGGCAUUCCUUUCUAUCAGGUAAGGAUGGUAAUUCUUGAUUUUCUUCAUAUGUUGGGUGUUGUGAACAAUCCAUUUGUUUUUUUUCCCCUGAGCAUUCACGGAUGAGGAAUGAGGAAUGCCUUUACUGGGAGGUAACAGGCCACUGCGGACUAUUUGCUGGUACACUUAGCUCCUUCAUCCUAGCAGAUGCUCUACAAACCAAAAUAGGUUGCUCUCCUUACUACAGGCUAUCUGAGAACUGUACAAGGAGUGUGGUUGGAACUAGCUUUAAAACACCUAGGGGGAUUCACUAUCUCUGAGGUACCUUUCCCUCUAGGUUGGCUGUCUGCUUUGGUCUUCUGGAGUUUCUCCUUACAGAUUUGGUAGUAUUUUGUCAUGUAAAUUAUGAUGAUGUAUCCUAGUCUAAUUUUUUUGUCAUGGUUUCUCUUUAGCUCUACUGACUUCCUUAGAAACAGUACAAAUAAAUACCUGCUCAGGUGAUGCACCUGGUCACCAGAGAUAUCCAGGACCACAAAAGAGAAUUGAGCUAUGCAACAGAAAUUUAUUUCAUGAAGACCACUGGGGAUGUUGGUUUACCCUGCUUGUUUGGUAAACUAGGCUAUUUUGUAAUGGCUGAAGCCAAAAUUACUUCUUUGGGCUAUGGUCAAUUUUCUGAUACCAAACCACAGGAAAAAGAAAGAUUGUAGAAAAUGGGUUCCUAGCAGACCAAAUCUUUUGAAUUAAAGGUAGGCAAAGUGUUGCCCUAAUUUGUCUUCCCAGACGCAGCUCGUGAUACCAUUGUACUUUAUCCCCUUCCCCUUUUUUGAGAAGCACUCCUGCAAACUCUACAUAAGAGAGACAAUUCUUCAUGUUAUUCCUCUUGCAAACUAUAUUAAGUUAACAGGGCAGGAUUUUCAUUAAACCAGUAGUGAUUUUCCAUCAUGUCCUAUUUGGGUAAAGUGAUUUUUCCAAGUUGUGCUCUAUGAAUUGUUAUUCUUAUAGAGAUUCUGAAGCUAUAUCUCAAAAUUGAGAGACACAAAAAUAUAGGAAAUAAUAAUUCUACUGCACUGAUGGCAAUUGUAACUGUGCUUUACAUAGGUUGAAAUAUUUGUGGUCAUUUGAUGACACUUGGGUAUAUUUGGUCCACUGAAAAGGGUUUUUUUUUUUAUCCAAAGCUCAUUUGUGAUAUAUUUAUCUGCUAAAAAUCCUGAACUCCUUGAACCAGACUGAUUUGAAUAAACUGUUGAAAAACAGAUCUUGGUUAUGUUUCAAGGGAGUAACAUGUUUCUCAAACAUAUGUGGAAACCUUGGAAACAGAAAUAAAGAAGAAUCGUAUACCCAAGUCAUAUUUCUUCUUGAAAAAUAGACUAGUAAGUAAGAACUUCAUAGCAUGGAUAAAAACAUCUUGGAACCCAGGUGCCAUGAAGACUAUAAAUAUAGUUUAAACAUAUUGACAUUAAAGUUGCCAACUGAAUAUUCCCUGAAGCUAGGUUUGAGGUGCAUUUGGAAAGCCCGGCUUAGGCAAAAAACAUGUUGAAGAUAGCAGAAUGAAUUUCAAUUAAGAGGAGAGAAAUCCAUCUUGGAACUGAGAAAAAAUCUAAGGUAAUAAGAAUAAUAGAACAAUAGAGUAGAAGAGGACCUUAUAGGCAAACAGGUCCAACCUCUGCUCAAUGCAGGGUUUCCAGCUAAAGCAUCCCCAACAGGUAGCUAUCCAAUCCUUGUAGUAGCUGUUCCUCUGUGUUGUCCAACAAAGCAAAUAAUCUAAUAGAUGACCCCACCUUAAAAAAAAAACCCAGUUAUCCUGCAUAAGAAGAGUGCUUGGAAAGUUAUUUUUAAAUGACAACUUCCAAAAAUGUAAAAUAAUGAACAUUAGGAAGAACUUCUUCACUGUGCGAGCUUUUGGCAGUGGAACUCUCUGCCCCGGAGUGUGGUGGAGGCUCCUCCUUUGGAAGCUUUUAAGCAGAGGCUGGAUGGUCAUCUGUCGGGGGUGCUUUGAAUGUGAUUUUCCUGCUUCUUGGCAGGAGGUUGGACUGGAUGACCUGUGAGGUCUCUUCUAACUCUAUGAUUCUAACCCAAAUUUGAAGACUGAAGCCAUAUUCUUACAGUUAAUUCAAAAAUAUUACUAUGUAUCAACAUAUUGCCAUGAAUUAGAAGUUCAUAAAACAUGGUACAGUCAGACAUUAAAAUUUAGUAGAAAGGGAUUGUUAUGAAAGUGGAAAACCACAUUUUUUUAAAAAACGGCAAUUUUUGCUUCAAAUAACACCUCUCUAGAAAUCUCUAGGCUGUCCAACAUGACUAUGUGGUCAGCCUCUUUCUCUGCCCAAGAAGUGCUGUUGCCUCACCAAACUACAAAUCCCAGACUUCCAUAGCAUUGAGCCAUGAUAAUUAAAGAAUGUCAACAUGGAUAAAAAUGGAAGAAUAUCUCAGUUACAUGAAAGAUGACCCACAUUUAUAGAACAACAACCUGGAAAUAAUUUUACAUAUGAGCAGAGGGAUGGGAUAAAUGGGGAAAGAAGAGGAGGAAGCAGAAUAUGUAGAAGUGGUGGUAGUAGCAGCAUUAUCAUUAUUCUGUUAUUGUCAUAAAUCAUUAUUAUUCUUUAUUAUUGUGAUGCCGCCUGAUGAUUUCAAGGUAAGAAGAAAAAUAUCCAGGAGAAGGAGCUAUUUCAGAUUGAAGGUACCAAAGCCAUCUAUGACUUUAAAGAUUAGCACUAACAACUUCUACCCAAGAACACAUUGGUUAUUUACCCAAUUUCUGAAAUGCGGAGUUUAGGUAGAGUAAUAGUGUUGGGUGCCAUCAGCAUACUGGUGAUAUCCAGCUCCCAAACAUAAGUUAACUUCUACUUGUGGGUUCAUGUAGCCUGGAGGAUAAAAUUGAACUUUGCAAAAACCACAGGCUAUCAGAUCAAACAGUAAUCCUCCACUUCCACAUUCAGAGUUCUCCCCUUCAAGGUCCAGAACCACUGCAGAACAGUGUCCUCAAGUCCCAUCCCAGAGAGGCAGUUCAGAAGGAUACCAUACCUGAUGGUGUCAAACAAUGCUGAAAGGCCCAAUAGAAUCAACAGGAUCACACUCCCCUUGUCCAGUUAACUGCAUAGGUAAUCCAACAAGGUGACUAAAGCUGUAUUUGUCUCAUAGCUAGGACUUCAGCUAGAUUGAAAUGGUUCUAGAUAAUCAGUUUCAUCCAAGAACCUCUAUAGCUAGCACACUCUUCAGAAACUUGCUCAGAAAAAGAGUAUGGAGACCGGUCGGUAGUUAAGUUAUCCAAUGUAGUUGUGUUUGAGAAAGGUUUCUUUUUUUAGUAGGGGUCUCACUAUUAUUUGUUCUAGAUGGAACUCUGCCUUGUUGCAAUGAGACAUUCACAAUUCCCAUUGCCCACUCAGCCAGUUCCCUUCUGGUGCUUUUAUAAGCCAAGGAAGGCAAGGGUCCAGUGCACAUGUGGUGGCUCUCCAAGGAUCCUGUUCACAUCCUUUGGCUGCACAAUUUGAAACAUAUCCAUUAACCUGGUACAAGCAGGAGCCAAGAUUACACUGGGCCUAUACCAGCUACACUAUCCAAAUCAUAGUGGAUCCAAGCGAUUUAUUUGCAAAAAGAAAAGCGUUUUCUUGCCCUUAUGUUUCAGCCUCAAUACCUUUUAAAUAGCAACUGCUCUUCUUUGAGAACUAGCAUAAAGCAAUAUUUAAAGUGCUGGUACAGACAAAGCCAAGUUCAAAUCUCAGUUUAGCCAUGGAAUUUACCAUGAGAUAUUAGGUCCUCGCUACCUCUCAGCAAAUCUUUGUGUACUAGCAUACUAUUGAUAAAAAAGAUCCAGAUCCAAAAAAAUUACCUGAGUAGCUGUUGAGAGUAACUACCAUUUGAUUCAUGGAGGAAACUAACAGCAACUUUUCUUGUACUUUGCACAACUUGUAGUUCUUUCUCUUGCACUUUGUGUCCUCCCACUGGAACUUUCAGCCUCUCUUCCCUCAUUUCCAGUCUCUUGCCUUAUCGUAUGUAUUUACAACCCACCUUUGCUGCAUUUUUCUCUACUGUUUCUUGUGCUCCAUUUGUUACACCCCUCACCCCCAAUUCUCUCCUUGCUUCACCUUGAUGCAGUCAUUUCUAAUAAUGAUGAUGAUGAUGAUGAUGAUGAUUUUAUUUAUUACCUGCCUCUCCUCAUGUUACAGAAUAAUUAAAACACAUAAACUUUGUACAAAUACCACAAAUGCACAUAUUAAAAUGUAUUUCUAUAAAAUACAUAUUAAAAUACACAAAACAGAAAUUAAACAAAGGAUACUCAUUUAAAAGUAAUGCCUCAAAAAUAUCAUUUUAUGACAUGAGGGCAAUUUAGCUGUAACAUUUGUCAUCCCAUUCAUCACCAAGUUGUUGUUCCUCCUCCUCCUCCUCCUCCUCCCCCUCCCCCUCCUCUUCUUCUUCUUCUUCUUCUUCUUCCUCCUCCUCCUCCUCUUCUUCUUCUUCUUCUUCCUCCUCCUCCUCCUCCCUUCCUCCCUUCCUCCCUCUCCCUCUCCCUCUCCCUCUCCCCCCCUCUCUCUCUCUCUCUCCUCUCUUUCUCUCUGUCACAGGCAUGGUCAUUCACACAGUGAUGUGGCUGAUGUUUUAGGACAGGGCAUGUUUCCAUUCAGUUUUUCAGUCCAAGGGCUAUUGACAGAUGGAGUAAAAUGUUCUUCCCUGCAGGGAGAAAUAAACUAAAAAUCAUUUCAGUUGCUUCUUCUUCAUUCCAUGGAUAAAACUCAACUUUGUCUCUGGAUUGUCGUAAAUUUCUUCUGGGAGGCAGAGACUGAUAUCUCAGCAGCAUUAAGCCUCUUGACUGAUAGUGAGAAGAAAACAGUUCAGGACCUGCCUAUCUCCGUGAUCGCCUCCUCUCCUACGAACCAACGCGAACCCUAAGAUCAUCCGGGGAGGCGCUCCUCUCGCUCAAAUGCGGCUUGUGGGGAUGAGGGAGAGUGCCUUCUCGGCAGUGGCCCCCCAGCUCUGGAACUCUCUCCCUAAGGAGAUCAGACAGACUGGCUGCCUGGCCAUAUUUUAACAAAGAAAACAAAAGCAAUUUGAAAAGGUGACCCAGGAAUUAUGGGAAUUAUAAUUUUGAAAAGGACUAUCAAGUAAAAAGUGGGUGCUAGAAAUAAUAUCAUAUGAAAACUGCCUGGCACAAACCUGGGGAUCACAACCAGACACAGUGAAGACAUCUGCCCUUGUGCUUUGCUAAUCUGCUGCUGAAUACGCAUGUCCACUGUGGAAUGCAUCUCGUCAUGUUAAAACAGUGGAUGUGACUUUUAAUGAGACAUGCCAUAUUAUCAUAGGAUGUCUAUGCCCUACACCACUGGAGAAAUUAUACUGUUUAACCAGUAUUGCACCACCUGAUACCCAUUGGGAAGUAGCAGCCAGUAAUGAAAGCAUCAAGGCAUUGACAUCUCUAGCCUGUCCUCUGUUCAGAUAUCAGCCGACAUGCCAAUGUCUUAAAUGAAGAAACAGCUUCCUAAGAUCUACAGAGAUACUUGCAGGCACUCGGCAAGCGAGAGUCCAAAAGUGGCAGUUUAAAACCCGGAAUCUCAAUCAGUAGCUGAUAGUAAAUGGUAAAGGUUUCCCCUGACGUUAAGUCAAGUCAUGUCUGACUCUGUGGGCUGGUGCUCAUCUCCAUUUCUAAGCCGGAGAGCUGGCAUUGUCCGUAGACACCUCCAAGGUCAUGUGGUUGGCAUGACUGCAUGGAGCACCGUUACCUUCCUGCUGGAGCGGUACCUAUUGAUCUAUUCACAUUUGCAUGUUUUCGAACUGCUAGGUUGGCAGAAGCUGAAGCUAACAGCGGGCGCUCAUUCCGCUCCCUGGAUUUGAACCUGGGACCUUUCAGUCUGCAAGUUCAGCAGCUCAGCACUUGAACACACUGCGCCACCGGAGGCUCCGGCUGAUACCGGCUGAGAAAAUCCUUCCUGGGCACACAGAAGACUGGGCAACUUGGAAGGUGCUGAACAGACUGUGCUUUGAUACCAUGAGAUGCAGAGUCAAUCUUAAGAAAUGGGGUUACAAAGUAGAGUCCAUAACAUGCAAGCGUGGAGAAGAGCAAACCACAGACCACUUACUACAACGCAAGCUGAGCAUGCACAAUGGAGGACCUUCUUACAGUGACACCAGAGGCACUUGGCCACUUUCUGGUCAAAUGAAAUUUAGUAUAAUGCCAAGUGUUUGUUUUUUUAACUCUGUGGUUUUUAACUCUGUUUGUGGUUAGUUUGUGGUUUUUAUACAUUAUAACUGUAUCUUCAAUUCGCUUCUGACACUAUAAAUUACCUAUCUUUUGAGUCUAAUCAUUUUCUCUUUCUGUAUGUUCUCAAAGAACAAUUUAUUUUCAGUGUGCUGACAUUCAUGUGAAAUGUGAAACACAUGGCACCUAUGUAUAAAUAGGCGUAUAGUAUUCAUAGGUGAUGGAACAUGGGCACAGGUGUGGAUAAUGAAGCUGCACUUUGAACAUUCCCAUUUCUUAAAAUAUAUGCGCAACAAGGAACAGCUCCAUAGAAACUAAAACCUCACUAAAAAUAACAAAUGUGUUUAUAAAACUCCUUCCCUGCUGCACACACAGUAUAUUUGUACAGUUUUUUCACAAUUUCAAAUUGUUAAAAUAGUUUGAUUGGCAUAGGCUGCUGAUUGGCAUGAUUAAGUGGCUUGUAGAUUGCAUGGGUCAGUAACAGCAGCUACUUUGUAAAAAUCAAUUAUGCUGCUAAACCAGUUAGGGAUUUUCUAUGAUAAAAGGGUACCUGAAGUGUGUUUUUGUGUGUGUUUGUAUAUAUACACACAUAUACAUUUACUAAAUUGAUGGUCUUAAGUUAUACUUUUAGCAUUAACUUAAAUCCUGAAUUAUAUUAUUAAUGAAGUUAUAAAUAAUUAAAUGAGAAAUAGUUAACUGCAGAGCUAAUAAUGGUAUCUCUUGGAUUUUUGCAGAAAUACUUCUUACAUUUUUGUAUUAGUCCUUUGGGGUCAGGGAAAUUGCAAUAUUUAGGUCACAUGAUCUUGAACAAAUCAUUUUAGGUCAUGUAAGAGUUCAGCUAAUUCCAAGGUUAAAAGGUUUUAAACUAGCAUGUAGCAAUGGUAUCUUGGAACAGCAGCUUGCAUCCAUAUUAUUCUUUUGUAGUCAAUAUCAGACAGCACACUGGGGCCCCAUGUCUUUCCAGUGAAACUCAGUUUUGAAGCUCCUAGACCUGAGAUUUCUACUGGAUCAUUUGUCUAUUUCUAUUUGUCUCAAUCACCCACUGUAUGUCCCAAUCAAAAAAUAAAAGUGGGAUAUAAUACAUAUAAUAAUAGUAAUAUUGCUAAGGAGAUGAGAAAUUGAGUUUUCAAACAUUUUUGCACAUUUCCUUCUCUGCUACACUCAAGAUAUGAGCAAAGCAGUUGGGAGGUGGGAGUCCCAACAUUUUUCAGCUUUCUUCUGCUUUUAGUGCAGACAUUUAACGUUAAAUCAUGGUUUAAGAGAAGAUUCAGAAUUAGAUUCCCAAUUCUUCUAAUGUAAAUGAAAUGUAAUUACUAGUUUAAACAAGAGUUUAUUACUUUUAACCUGUCCUGCUGACUUUCCUAUAUCUAUGUUUGGCUUAAAACCAAAGAAGUUCAGCAGGAAAUAGUCAAAUUGCUGAACAGAAACCCUCCAACACCAAAUUCUUGGUUCACAUGCACAGGAAGAAAUGGACCACUGUAAAAGAGUAUCUCCAAGUCUCAUCCAAGUAGAUAAGCUCAGAGGGAUAUCAUGGGUGCAAUAAUCUGGGUUUUUGUAGUUUAAUGAGACACCAGCACUCUUUUGCAGAGAAAGCCAAGACCUUGUAAAACUACAAUGCCCAUGUUUCCAUAGCAUUGAACCAUGACAGUUAAAGUGGUAUCAAACUGCAUUAAUUCUACAGUGUAAAUACAACCAUGGUCAAUGGUAUCAAAAAGUGGCUGGUAGGUCCAGCAGAACCAACAGAGACAUACUUUCCAAUGAUUAAUCCCAAAGAAUAAUAAUAAUAAUAAUAAAAAUAAUAAUAAUAAUAAAAGAGUACAAUAAUAAUACAAGAGUACCCUGACUCACAGAAAACAGAACCUCACCUAGCUGAUCAACGAAGAUAAAACAAAGUGUUUAGUGAAGUUGAACUCGAAGAAAUUCAGAAAAUCUGCAAUGUAAAUUACCAUCAGGCCACAGUACAGACAGUAGCAGAGAGUCCAGCAACACUUGGAACGGUGGAACAGACUGAACCAGAAGAAAAUGUGGAGCUUUUGCAAGAAUUUGAAGAACCAGCACUUGAAGCACUUGUUGAACCACCAGGAACGUUGACAGCAAGACAACAAGAGCUCAAGGAUAAAAUCAUGGUUCAUGCUGCAGCAAAUGCAGUAAGAAAGCAACUCCCAACUUUAAAAACAGUGCCCAAGAGACACCUGGCACCUCUCAUGAAAGAUGUGAAUACACUACUUUCUACUGUCCAAAUAACAUCCAUUAAACAAACAAACCAGUUUGCUUACAGUACAGCAGUAACAGAUAGUAACAGAAGAGCUUGGACUCCUACAACCAAUGCAGCCUCAAAGAAAACUGAUGGGAAAACCAAAAUGGAAGGUCAGGUUGGAGUUGAAAAUCAAAAAUCUAUGAUCAGAUGUUAGUAACCUGAAAAAUAUGAAGGAGAAGAAACUGAAGAAUGACAAAAAUCAAGCAAUACCUGAUCAGCUUCUUAGCAGGGGGUUGGACUAGAUGGCCAUGUGGUCUCUUCCAACUCUACUAUUCUAUGAUUCUAGAAAGUACUGGCUGAACACCAGAAAGAGAUGUGGUCUCGAAGAUAAGUUGGACCAGAAGCAAGAAAUAGAGGUGAGGAAAAUCAAAUGCAAUGACAACCAGAAAUUUUCCACCACUUCAAAGAGCUGAAAAAGGCUAAGUGUUUGCCCACAAUGUUACACAAAGGGACCCAUUUUCUAUAUAUCCAGCAAAUAUAAUCUGCUACAUAAACAAUGAAAGUUGAAAUCAGCAGUUAUAUUCAUUAGAUUUGAACAGGAUAUCUUAAGAGAGACAGUAAUACAUUUUUGCAUAGAUGAUGUGCUGAAAUGAGUUGCUGGAGAAUACAUUAACUUUUUUUUAAAGAAGGGGGGCAAUGAAAAGCUUUAAUGAAUUCUUCCUCCUGACACUUUGAAAUGUAUACUAUCUUCCUCUCUCAUUUUUGAAAAAGUGGUUAUUUUGUAAAAGUACAUUAACCACUGAGCAUGUUAUUGUAUUACAUUAACAUGAAACCCAUAAUGAAAGUUGGUCUUUAUACUGGAACGAACAAUCACAUAAGAUACUUGAUUUCAUAUCACAUCAGCCUCUUAAUCCUAUUAUACAUACCAUAGCAAAUGGAGAGUGUAAAUGUUUGUGACAUUGCCUGCUAUUAAAAUCUAAUGUGUAUUUUCAAUGAAUAUCACUUGGCAAGCUGUCCUUUUGCUAGAGUCAUGCUUGUUUAUAUAUCUUGCAGAUAUUUUUUCCUCAUUUUCUUUUGAACUAGUGUAGAACCUAGGACUAGAAUUGCAUCCCAACAACAGGACGCAAGAAGCCCAGAAUGCUUUUCAGAUGAGUUAGUGGAGCCUGACAUUUCUUCUGUCUGUGUAAAACUUCAAAUAAUAGAAAACAUCUGCUGAACAUCUCAACUCUCUCUCAAAUGCUGAUCUCUCUAAAACUUGAAGUGAGAAACAGAUGCUUGGAAAAAUUAUCUUUGGGCCUGUAAUUCCUAGCAUGUCACAGCCAUUGGCAAAUUUGGCAACCCAAAGGAUUUUGUAUUGUUCUGGUUAAGGAGAUGCUUGGUUUAGUAGUUUAUGUGUUGGACUAUGACUCUAGGAAACUAAUUUUCAGUUCAGCCAUAGAGACCCAUUUGGUGACCCUGUGUGGUACA
Molecule: long non-coding RNA, 18404 nt
Organism: Anolis carolinensis (green anole)
Lineage: Eukaryota; Metazoa; Chordata; Lepidosauria; Squamata; Anolidae
Exons: 5
Source: RefSeq, a predicted model, not a curated record